ACUGCACAGACCUAGGCUCU
RNAcentral lists this microRNA (20 nucleotides) under Bos taurus (domestic cattle). Its description in RNAcentral is "bta-miR-2377". The record is from miRBase by way of RNAcentral. Lineage: Eukaryota; Metazoa; Chordata; Mammalia; Artiodactyla; Bovidae.